Molecule: non-coding RNA, 149 nt
Organism: Caenorhabditis elegans
Lineage: Eukaryota; Metazoa; Nematoda; Chromadorea; Rhabditida; Rhabditidae
Source: Ensembl
ACUUUUUGGCUGAAGAAUAAUAUUUUUGAACGACAUUUUCAAAUAUUCCAAAAAAUGUUUUGGAAAAUCCGAUUUUCAGGGUAGAGUUUUAGAGGUCAAAAUCAAAACAUUUAAAAAAAAUCCGAUAACAGCAAAAUUUUUGCACCAAA